CGGCAGGCCUAACACAUGCAAGUCGAGCGGUAGAGAGGUGCUUGCACCUCUUGAGAGCGGCGGACGGGUGAGUAAUGCCUAGGAAUCUGCCUGGUAGUGGGGGAUAACGCUCGGAAACGGACGCUAAUACCGCAUACGUCCUACGGGAGAAAGCAGGGGACCUUCGGGCCUUGCGCUAUCAGAUGAGCCUAGGUCGGAUUAGCUAGUUGGUGAGGUAAUGGCUCACCAAGGCGACGAUCCGUAACUGGUCUGAGAGGAUGAUCAGUCACACUGGAACUGAGACACGGUCCAGACUCCUACGGGAGGCAGCAGUGGGGAAUAUUGGACAAUGGGCGAAAGCCUGAUCCAGCCAUGCCGCGUGUGUGAAGAAGGUCUUCGGAUUGUAAAGCACUUUAAGUUGGGAGGAAGGGCAUUAACCUAAUACGUUAGUGUUUUGACGUUACCGACAGAAUAAGCACCGGCUAACUCUGUGCCAGCAGCCGCGGUAAUACAGAGGGUGCAAGCGUUAAUCGGAAUUACUGGGCGUAAAGCGCGCGUAGGUGGUUCGUUAAGUUGGAUGUGAAAUCCCCGGGCUCAACCUGGGAACUGCAUUCAAAACUGUCGAGCUAGAGUAUGGUAGAGGGUGGUGGAAUUUCCUGUGUAGCGGUGAAAUGCGUAGAUAUAGGAAGGAACACCAGUGGCGAAGGCGACCACCUGGACUGAUACUGACACUGAGGUGCGAAAGCGUGGGGAGCAAACAGGAUUAGAUACCCUGGUAGUCCACGCCGUAAACGAUGUCAACUAGCCGUUGGGAGCCUUGAGCUCUUAGUGGCGCAGCUAACGCAUUAAGUUGACCGCCUGGGGAGUACGGCCGCAAGGUUAAAACUCAAAUGAAUUGACGGGGGCCCGCACAAGCGGUGGA
Molecule: ribosomal RNA, 901 nt
Filed under: Pseudomonas sp. EA_S_98
Lineage: Bacteria; Pseudomonadati; Pseudomonadota; Gammaproteobacteria; Pseudomonadales; Pseudomonadaceae
Description: bacterial SSU rRNA
Rfam family: Bacterial small subunit ribosomal RNA
Source: RNAcentral